RNAcentral lists this ribosomal RNA (504 nucleotides) under uncultured bacterium. RNAcentral describes it as "bacterial SSU rRNA". It matches the Rfam family "Bacterial small subunit ribosomal RNA", at positions 28 to 524 of the family's 1533-position model. The record is from RNAcentral.
GACGAACGCUGGCGGCGUGCUUAACACAUGCAAGUCGAACGAGGUCCAAGGAGUAGCAAUACUCCCGAAGACCUAGUGGCGAACGGGUGCGUAACACGUGAGGAACUUGUCCCGGUCUCUGGGAUAACAGUUGGAAACGACUGCUAAUACCGGAUGACGUCGGAGCAUCGCAUGGUGCGCUGACGAAAGGGUUACUGGAUCGGGAGAGCCUCGCGGCCUAUCAGCUAGUUGGUGGGGUAACGGCCUACCAAGGCAACGACGGGUAGCUGGUUUGAGAGAACGAUCAGCCACACUGGGACUGAGACACGGCCCAGACUCCUACGGGAGGCAGCAGUGGGGAAUCUUGCGCAAUGGGCGAAAGCCUGACGCAGCAACGCCGCGUGUGGGAAGAAGGAGCUUAGCUUCGUAAACCACUGUCGGAGGGGACGAAUGAUAGGUUAGACCUAUUGAGACGGUACCCUCAAAGGAAGGAUCGGCUAACUACGUGCCAGCAGCCGCGGUAAU